UUACGGCCACAUCAGGUUUAAACUGCGGUUCCCGUACCAUCACCAAAGUAAAGAAACAUCGAGCCUUGUCAGUAACUAGGUGGGUGAUCACUUGGGAAUACCAGGUGCUAUA
Acanthosepion pharaonis is the source of this 112-nucleotide non-coding RNA. NCBI's taxonomy places the organism in Eukaryota, Metazoa, Mollusca, Cephalopoda, Sepiida, Sepiidae. The record is from the annotation of a GenBank genome assembly.